GGAAAGGCUGCUAUGAUAUUUCUGCUGCUUUUAUGCAUGUAAAGCCACAGCAGUCAGGAAAGAGCUGCUCUCGUACACAGCAGAAUGACAAAUUCACGGAUCACUUCAAGCAUAAUGUGAUGUGAGCCAAUUGCAUUGUUAAACUACUACAAAGACAGCUAUUCAGAGGUGUUUCUACAUACAUGCAAAGGACGCAUUGACUGCAUAGGAAGAGUGAAGCAUACUCUUGUGGUUAAGAGUGAAUUUUCAGAGCCCCUGGGAUUGACUGCUCAGGUACUAUAAUUCUCUGUGUAUACCCAGAAUGGGACAAUCAAU
RNAcentral lists this long non-coding RNA (315 nucleotides) under Gallus gallus (chicken). Its description in RNAcentral is "long non-coding RNA NONGGAT001561". Lineage: Eukaryota; Metazoa; Chordata; Aves; Galliformes; Phasianidae. The record is from RNAcentral.